AUUGAACGCUGGCGGCAGGCCUAACACAUGCAAGUCGAACGAGUGGCGGACGGGUGAGUAAUGUCUGGGAACCUGCCUGCUGGAGGGGGAUAACUACUGGAAACGGUAGCUAAUACCGCAUACCAUCCGAUGUGCCCAGAUGGGAUUGGCGAGUUGGUGGGGUAACGGCUCACAAAGGCGACGAGCCCUAGCUGGUCUGAGAGGAGGACAAGCCCCACUGGAACGGAGAGGUGGUCCAGACGCCGACGGGAGGCAGCAGGGGGCAAUAUUGGCCAGUGGGCGGAAGGCGGAUGCAGCCAUGCGGCGUGUAUGAAGGAGGGCUUCGGGUUGUAAAGGACGUUCAGCGGGGAGGCGGUACCCGCAGAAGAAGCUCCGGCGAACUCCGGGACAGCCGCCGCGGUAAUUC
Molecule: ribosomal RNA, 406 nt
Filed under: uncultured bacterium
Lineage: Bacteria
Description: partial 16S ribosomal RNA
Rfam family: Bacterial small subunit ribosomal RNA
Source: RNAcentral